This 433-nucleotide ribosomal RNA is filed under the name uncultured bacterium. RNAcentral describes it as "partial 16S ribosomal RNA". It matches the Rfam family "Bacterial small subunit ribosomal RNA", at positions 29 to 507 of the family's 1533-position model. The record is from RNAcentral.
AACGAACGCUGGCGGCAUGCCUAACACAUGCAAGUCGAACGAGACCUUCGGGUCUAGUGGCGCACGGGUGCGUAACGCGUGGGAAUCUGCCCUUGGGUUCGGAAUAACAGUGAGAAAUUACUGCUAAUACCGGAUGAUGUCUUCGGCCCAAAGAUUUAUCGCCCAGGGAUGAGCCCGCGUAGGAUUAGCUAGUUGGUGGGGUAAUGGCCUACCAAGGCGACGAUCCUUAGCUGGUCUGAGAGGAUGAUCAGCCACACUGGGACUGAGACACGGCCCAGACUCCUACGGGAGGCAGCAGUGGGGAAUAUUGGACAAUGGGCGCAAGCCUGAUCCAGCAAUGCCGCGUGAGUGAUGAAGGCAUUAGGGUUGUAAAGCUCUUUUACCCGGGAUGAUAAUGACAGUACCGGGAGAAUAAGCUCCGGCUAACUCCGUG